RNAcentral lists this ribosomal RNA (407 nucleotides) under uncultured bacterium. RNAcentral's name for it is "bacterial SSU rRNA". It matches the Rfam family "Bacterial small subunit ribosomal RNA", at positions 355 to 776 of the family's 1533-position model. The record is from RNAcentral.
UGGGGGAUAUUGCGCAAUGGGGGAAACCCUGACGCAGCAACGCCGCGUGAAGGAAGAAGGCUUUCGGGUUGUAAACUUCUGUUCUUAGGGAAGAAGACAGUGACGGUACCUAAGGAGCAAGUCACGGCUAACUACGUGCCAGCAGCCGCGGUAAUACGUAGGUGACAAGCGUUGUCCGGAUUUACUGGGUGUAAAGGGCGUGUAGGCGGGAUAUCAAGUCAGUCGUGAAAUACCGAGGCUUAACUUCGGGGCUGCGAUUGAAACUGAUAUUCUUGAGUGUCGGAGAGGAAAGCGGAAUUCCUAGUGUAGCGGUGAAAUGCGUAGAUAUUAGGAGGAACACCAGUGGCGAAGGCGGCUUUCUGGACGAUAACUGACGCUGAGACGCGAAAGUGUGGGGAGCAAACAGG